Molecule: non-coding RNA, 24 nt
Filed under: Arabidopsis thaliana (thale cress)
Lineage: Eukaryota; Viridiplantae; Streptophyta; Magnoliopsida; Brassicales; Brassicaceae
Source: RNAcentral
CACACCAUCCAUGCGGAUCAUGUG